GCGUCUUCAAGCGCCCUCUUUACGUUCGUCCUAAUGGCUGUUAGUUGUCCGUGGAUUGGCCUAUAUGUAUGUGUGUGUGUGUGUGUGUGUGUGUGUGUGU
This is a long non-coding RNA of Alosa sapidissima (American shad), 100 nucleotides long. RefSeq lists it as uncharacterized. NCBI's taxonomy places the organism in Eukaryota, Metazoa, Chordata, Actinopteri, Clupeiformes, Clupeidae. The transcript has 3 exons. The record is from RefSeq and is a predicted model, not a curated record.